Long non-coding RNA from Felis catus (domestic cat), 2228 nucleotides. RefSeq lists it as uncharacterized. The transcript is spliced from 2 exons. The record is from RefSeq and is a predicted model, not a curated record. NCBI's taxonomy places the organism in Eukaryota, Metazoa, Chordata, Mammalia, Carnivora, Felidae.
GUGUCCCUUAUAUCUAUGCCCGGCCCACAGCAAGGAUUCAUGUUAUCGAGCCCCACAUGGCAGCCAAUUAAUUCUGAAACUGCUUUAUGGUAAACAGAAAAUCUUCACUAUAGAAUUUGAGGAAUGCAAAUGUUCCUUGUCAGUUUGGCCCAUCGAAGGACAACUUAAGAUACUUUCCCAUGAUUGGCUGAAAUUUCUGUAAGAAAGAUUUUUAUGUUAAAUAUGUGAAUGUCUGUUAUGAUCAGAUAAUGUGUUAGUGGGCAAAAAUGCAGCAGUACGCAAACUGAUAUAGACCCUGACUUGAGUUUAGAGUUUAAAGGGGGAAGCGAAUAUUGAUCAUACAAUACCAUAAAUAAAUACAUAAUUUCAAGCGGUAGGGAGUGCUAUACUGGGUGCAAUGAAAGAAUAUGCCCCAGGAAUUGAAUUUACACUAAGCAUUCAAGGAAGGCCUCCCUGAAGAAGUAACAAUGAAGCUGAGACCUGGAGGGGAAGCAGGAGUUAGCCAGGCAGAGCUCAGGAAAGAAUGGUCCAGACCCCCAACUGGGGCAGGACCUGGUACGCUCAAAGAAGUCCACUGGAGCUGAGGCAAGGUGAGUAAGGAGCACAACGGCUCGACAUGAGUUCGGAUAAUUGGCAGGGUUUUGGGGCACUGUCGGGAGUUUGGCUUUUAUCCCAGGUGGGAUGGAAACCAUUGAACGGUGUACCUCAGCCAAGUGACGAAGUCCAAGUUGCACCUUAACGUCACUGCCAGCAAGAGGACAUAGACACAUUUGCAGUGGACUUGCACUUCAGCAUCAGGAUAACUAAGCAACAUUUACUGGACCUGUCUGUACCGAGCACUGCAGGGCAGCCGAAUGAUGGAAGCCAGCGACCGUGUGCCAGGCAGCCCUACGUAGCAUGACCUGUGGGGCAAGGAACCGAAAGCAGCCUCUAACCAACAGCCUGUGAGGACCCGAAUCCUGCCAACUACCACACAAAUGAGCUCUGAUGCAGAUGCUGUCCCGUUCGAGCCUUCAGAUAAGACUGCAGCCUCCUGAUCGACCUUGCGACAGAGACAUCCAGGUGUGAACAGAAGGCCAGAAAACACCCAGGCUUCGCAUCCCUUCCUUAAACUGUCCUUAAAUAGUCUACCGAUGGAAAUAAUGGGUGGUCGCGAUGAGACGAGACCAUCCUGACACCGGGACUGACUUCAUGCGUCACAAGUGCCACCUGGCCAAGAGCAGCUAUAGUGUCAUCCGGCUGUAAGUCCCGUCCUCUCUUGAUUCCAGAAAUGUUAAAAAAAAAAAUUGUCUUAAUUAAAUCUUAGACUCAACAGAGUGUAGUGCGUAACAACUUCCUAUGUGUGUUGUACUGUGAUAUAUAAUUGUUAGUAUUGGUCACAACCUACUGGUUAAUUUCAUGGCCCACUAACGAGGCCGGUACAUAGAAACCGGACAGCACUACCCAGGGCCCCUCUGAAUGCUGGGGAGGGGAGCCCAGAUUGGGGGUGGUGGAGGCAAGGGGUGUUGCCCGUGGAGAUGAGUAGGUAGGAGGGCUGGGGUCAGAAGUCCUGGCUCCAGGCUUUUUCCCAGUGCUUACAAGCAGGAGGAAAGAAAGGAAAAGGAGGAAGAGGAGGGAGGUUAUAAAUAAAAGAAUGAGCUUAUGAACCAAUAUGAUUUUUUUGGUUCACUCGGGUUUGUAUUUUUGCAUUAGGUUUUGUCCACAACACUCAGCUUUGACAGAGAUAUGAUAACCAGAGCAAGCUGCUUAGCCUCUUUGAACUUGAGAUUGAUUUUGAAAACAUGAAGAAGGAAAAACAAACAAACAAAAAACCCGGAGAGUUCAGUGAAUGCUGGCUCUUUUGUCUGGGUACAAUCCCGGCAGCUAGACCUGAUCUUCCCCUAGCCCAGCGGUGCUGCUCAGUCUAGCUUCCUGGAGAGGCAGUAGGGUGUACAGCUUACUCCCUCCAGCAGUGUAGACACCGAAUUCAGAUGCUACGAAAUGCACAUACCUGUCAGAAAGCAAUCUGGGCUUUUAUUGGGGGGGGGGGGGAGGGGAGAGGGUAUUUUAAUUGGCUUGCUUAGCUUGAGCUGGCGCAAAGGAGGGAGCCCAGGGUGUAUUUGCAGAAUGUGGAACCCUGCGGCCUGAAGAGGUGAAGGGUGCUGUUGAUUCUCAGCUGCAGUGAGGUAUGCCAUGGGCAUGGGUAAGUUACUCGGCUCCUCGGAGCUUGUUUCCAUCCUUGAAUGUGG